AGCUCCUGGAUUCAAAUUCUCCUGAUGAGCAGCUCAUUGGAGCUAGAAUUCUUCGCCAAUUUGCAAUGAGUAAGCGGUUUUCUGAUGACACCCUCCAGAAGAUUGCGAUUAAUCUCUCUGUGAUUGAAAGGUUUGUUGAAAUGUUGAACUGGAAAGAUCCACAAGAGGAAGAGAUCAGGCGAUCAGCUGCAGAAAUAUUGUCAAAAUUAGCUGGCAAAAAGCAGAACUCUCUUCGAGUAGCUGGCAUACCUGGAGCAAUGGAAUCAAUAUCAUCUCUGCUCCAAACAAAUAGGAGCUCUGGUGCUGCAACUGAUGAAAUUGGUGAAAAGAAAAUCAUUCUUGAUCAUGCAAAUUAUGGAUUCUGGACAUUUAAUCAUUUAGGACUUCUCAUUCUGAAGAAACUAGCCCGUAACCAUGAUAACUGUGGAAAGAUUGGAAAUACAAGAGGGCUGCUACCAAAGAUCAUUGAUUUUACACAUGCCGAAGAGAGUUUGUUAAGGAAUGAGCAUGACACAUCAUCUCAGAUUCUGACUGUGAGGCGCUCCCUCCAACUGGUAAAGAUGCUGGCAAGCACAACAGGUAUCACAGGGGAACAUCUUAGAAGAGAGAUUUCAGAGGUGGUUUUCACAAUCAGUAACAUCAGAGAUAUUUUACUACAUGGAGAGAAACACCCAUUGCUGCAAAAGUUGGGCAUUGACAUUCUAACCAGUCUGGCACUAGAGGAAGAUGCAACAGAGAGGAUUGGAGGCACGGGUGGAAUGCUCAAGGAAUUGUUCAACAUUUUAUUCAAAGAGGGAAUGCCAGAGAACCAGAACUGUGUAAGAAUUGCCGCAGGAGAAGCACUAGCAAUGCUCGCAUUGGAUAGCAAAAGUAAUUGCCACCGGAUCUUGAAAUUGAAGGUGGUGGACAAGCUAGUGGAAACAUUGGCAGUCCCGUUGGUUCGUGUAAAUGCUGCAAGAAUCUUAAGAAAUUUGUGUGCCUCUAGUGGAGCAGAUUGCUUCAAUCAGUUAAGAGGAGUCACAGCUGCUGCUCCCACAGUAAGUGCUUACAACAAACUAUUUUCUUCUCUUACCAAAUUUUUAUUCAAACAGAAUAAGAGUCAUAGUCCUAAUCCUGUUCUUCAAUGCAGAUUCUCAAGGCAAUCACAUCAGAAGAGUACAAAUUACAGGAAGUGAUGGUUGGACUAGCGGCACAAGUUUUCAGAUUCAUGACUCCUGAAGAAUCUAGCAACAUUUUCGAGAGAGCUGGAAUUAUGGAAAUCGAUUUAGCUAAUACAUUAGUCCAGAUUCUGAGGAAAUACCAACACCCACCAAUUAAGGUUCCGAGAAUAAGGAGGUAUGCCAUAGAGCUGGCAAUUUGGAUGAUGAGAGACAAGGCAACAAAUGUACAUAUUUUCAAGAAUCUGGGGUUGGAGAUGGUGCUAGAAAGUGUCAUUGAGACCACAGCAGAGAUUGAAAAUUUCAAUAUCUUCUCAGGCACUGUUGGAGUAAGCCGGCACAGCGUAUCAAUUCACUCACUGGCUGAAACUGCAUUGAUGUUGCUGAUGGGUGGAUAAUGCCAUACAAAAUGUCACUGAUUUCCAGAAUCAGUUUUGUGCAUUGGAGAAAAAUUUUUAAAAAAAUUUACGACACUCUUGUAAAUAUGCAUGCAUAAAAGCCAUAAAAGAUUCCUUUUCUUCAAGUAAUAAAGAUGUCAAUUAUAUCAUUCUACCUACCAAGAUUCAUAAUGCCUUCUGUUGAGAUAUCACUGUCACGUGUACUGUAGAUAAUUAAUCUAACAUUUCCUUUGAUAUAUUCUGCCAACUUCUUGUUAAAUAGGCUCAUGGUAAGAUAAAGAUGAGCACACUGAAUUAUGGGGCCGUGCCCAGACAAAAUCACACUAAAAUCAUUCAAGGAAAAACGAAUUCUGUAAAAAAUAACUAAGAAAGCUCGAUAAAAUUCGAUAAAAUGAAACAACAGAACAAUCACGAUGUUUCCGAGCACUUACAGUGGUUCAUGUCCGACCAGUGCUUCAGAGACUGAAAAAUUGAGUAGAGCAAAUCGAGCAGAGCACGAACUAGAAGAACAUGGUGUUUCUGUAAGAGACGAAGUAUGGACAAAAUGACUGUCAUGUUGCGAAGGCAAGUGAAUUUUAGUUUAACAUGGUCUAAGCUAGUUUUACA
Molecule: long non-coding RNA, 2161 nt
Filed under: Citrus sinensis (sweet orange)
Lineage: Eukaryota; Viridiplantae; Streptophyta; Magnoliopsida; Sapindales; Rutaceae
Description: long non-coding RNA (CSIN_LNC003760)
Source: RNAcentral